Molecule: ribosomal RNA, 497 nt
Filed under: uncultured bacterium
Lineage: Bacteria
Description: partial 16S ribosomal RNA
Rfam family: Bacterial small subunit ribosomal RNA
Source: RNAcentral
GAUGAACGCUGGCGGCGUGCCUAAUACAUGCAAGUCGAGCGAACGGACGAGAAGCUUGCUUCUCUGAUGUUAGCGGCGGACGGGUGAGUAACACGUGGAUAACCUACCUAUAAGACUGGGAUAACUUCGGGAAACCGGAGCUAAUACCGGAUAAUAUUUUGAACCGCAUGGUUCAAAAGUGAAAGACGGUCUUGCUGUCACUUAUAGAUGGAUCCGCGCUGCAUUGGCUAGUUGGUACGGUAACGGCUUACCAAGCUAACGAUGCAUAGCCGACCUGAGAGGGUGAUCGGCCACACUGGAACUGAGACACGGUCCAGACGCCUACGGUAUGCAGCAGUAGGGAAUCUUCCACUAUGGGCGAAGGCCUGACGGAGCAACGCCGCGUGAGUGAUGAAGGUCUUCGGAUCGUAAAACUCUGUUAUUAGGGAAGAACAUAUGUGUAAGUAACUGUGCACAUCUUGACGGUACCUAAUCAGAAAGCCACGGCUAACUACGUG